GUGCCUUUUGGUACUACUGGAAGUUCUUCUUAAAAGGGAGGAGAUGAGAUUUUUUUUUCCACUUCCUCCACCCCACUGCCUAGAUUAUGUUGCAAUGUUGCAGUUGUAAUGGGAAGAUACUAGCAGAAGUAGGAGAAAAGGCCUGUGGAAUAUGUCCAUAUUUGCAUUUGAGAAACAACACUGGCUGCUCUCUGAAGAGACUAUGCGGAGCAGAAACAAAGCAAGGAGGAUGUGUAUGAUAUGUGCACUUCUGUUGCCAACCAACACCACAGCUGCAGAACUACUGAAGUCUUUGAGUAAUUACGUAUCAGGAAACUGAGUUGGUCAUAUGGUAUUGAUAUAUGCACAGAUGGAGUGGCUGCCAUGACUGGAUGGCUUUCUGGUUUCGCUACUUGGGUCAAAGAGGUCACUUCUUAAUCUGGUGCAUGAUCACCUAUCUCAGCUUUCAAGAGAGUCUGAACAUUAUUUCCCAACCACAAAAGACCCACCUCCACAACUGGGAAGGAAUGGAUCUGCAACCCAUUUGUGAAUAAGCCAGGUGAAUUGACUUUGUCUGUGCUGGAAGAGGAUCAACUGCUUGAAAUCGCAAAUCGAGGUGGCCUUAAAAGUAUGUUUGAGACAACUUCAAGUCUUUACACAUUCUGGAUUAAAGUCAAGGCAAAAUAUACUGAGAUUGCCACGAAAGCACUGAAAAACCUGCUUCUAUUUCCAACAUCCUAUCUUUGUGAAGCAGGGUUUUCUGCAGUGACAGCAACCAAAAUAAGAUUACAGAGUAGACUGGACAUAAGCAACACACUUGGGGUGUCACUGUCUCCCAUCACCCCCAUUUGGGACAAUCUAGUUGCAGGGAAAAAAAUUCCAGGGUUCCCACUGAUUCUAUGUUACGGUGAGUUGUGUAACUAUUUUAUUAUGUAUUACCAUGUGAUAAUAAUAGAAAUAAAAUGCACAAUACAUGUAAUGUGCUUGAAUAUUCCUGAACCCACCACCCCCAAACCCAGCCGUUGGAAAAAUUGUCUUCCAUGAAAUCAGUACUUGGUGCCAAAAAGGUUAGGGACCGCCGCAUUACAGAAUGUCAUAAUUGCUGCCUUUUAUGACGAAAAUGCUGUGUCUCAGUAGCUAAGACAGGCACAUUGAUCAACAACUACAAAAUCUAAGUGUAUUUAAUAUUAAGGUCUUUUAGAUAACUUAAUAGGCUUUUGAAACAACAGAGAAGCCCUCACUUUGCAGAUGUGUAAGUAACUUUUCCAUAAAGUUAAAUGAAACCAUUAAAAUAUUUUCAAUUAUUGGUAAUACAUCCAAAUAGUAUGAAUGGGGAAAAUAGGAUUAGUGUUAUCUGAUUGCCACUAGGGGGAGGAAAAAUCAGCAAAUGAGCAGCAAAUAUGAACUGGAAGAAAAUGCUCCAAAAAGUUGGCGUGGCAUAUGUAUUUUGGUUAACAUUUGUGAAGUAUAAGUAGUGCAUUACACAAUUAAAGAAACAUUUUUUAUUUUUUUACUUUUCUAUAUAUUCUACAUUAAAAAUAUGUUCUAAUUAUACACACACAUUUAAAAGAAAAAAGUCAAAAGACAUAUAAAUAUCAUGGGAACAUGGAACUUUAGAAUGAGUCAGGACAAGUCUUAGAUAACUUUGCUCAGCCUCUCUCCUUCGUGUGACAUCCCUAGUAGAACAAGGUACACCUACCUCUACUUGGAAACUUCUGGUGAUGGGGAUCUUGUUUUUUUUUUUUUUUUUUUUUUCAGUCUAACUCACUCUAGUAUUGAUCAUCACUGAGUCAGAAACUUCUCCCCAAAAUGGACUACAACAUGGCUACAUUUUAUAUUCACUUGUGGCACAGUGUUAC
This 1838-nucleotide long non-coding RNA is filed under the name Homo sapiens (human). Lineage: Eukaryota; Metazoa; Chordata; Mammalia; Primates; Hominidae. The record is from RNAcentral.